RNAcentral lists this ribosomal RNA (261 nucleotides) under uncultured bacterium. Its description in RNAcentral is "partial 16S ribosomal RNA". It matches the Rfam family "Bacterial small subunit ribosomal RNA", at positions 524 to 782 of the family's 1533-position model. The record is from RNAcentral.
UACGUAGGGGGCAAGCGUUGUCCGGAAUCAUUGGGCGUAAAGAGCGUGUAGGCGGCUUGGUAAGUCCGCUGUGAAAGUCCAGGGCUCAACCCUGGAAUGCCGGUGGAAACUGUCAAGCUUGAGUCCGGAAGAGGCGAGUGGAAUUCCUGGUGUAGCGGUGAAAUGCGCAGAUAUCAGGAGGAACACCAAUGGCGAAGGCAGCUCGCUGGGACGGUACUGACGCUGGAGACGCGAAAGCGUGGGGAGCAAACAGGAUUGAGA